RNAcentral lists this non-coding RNA (25 nucleotides) under Arabidopsis thaliana (thale cress). Lineage: Eukaryota; Viridiplantae; Streptophyta; Magnoliopsida; Brassicales; Brassicaceae. RNAcentral also lists the same sequence under 9 other names. The record is from RNAcentral.
CCACCAGGAGUGGAGCCUGCGGCUU